RNAcentral lists this ribosomal RNA (440 nucleotides) under uncultured bacterium. RNAcentral describes it as "partial 16S ribosomal RNA". It matches the Rfam family "Bacterial small subunit ribosomal RNA", at positions 338 to 795 of the family's 1533-position model. The record is from RNAcentral.
CCUACGGGAGGCAGCAGUGGGGAAUAUUGCACAAUGGGGGAAACCCUGAUGCAGCGACGCCGCGUGAGUGAAGAAGUAAUUCGUUAUGUAAAGCUCUAUCAGCAGGGAAGAAAAUGACGGUACCUGAGUAAGAAGCCCCGGCUAACUACGUGCCAGCAGCCGCGGUAAUACGUAGGGGGCAAGCGUUAUCCGGAUUUACGGGGUGGAAAGGGAGCGUAGACGGCAGUGCAAGUCUGGAGUGAAAGGCGGGGGCUCAACCCCCGGACUGCUCUGGAAACUGUACGGCUGGAGUGCAGGAGAGGUAAGUGGAAUUCCUAGGGUAGCGGGGAAAUGCGUAGAUAUUAGGAGGAACACCAGUGGCGAAGGCGGCUUACUGGACUGUAACUGACGUUGAGGCUCGAAAGCGUGGGGAGCAAACAGGAUUAGAUACCCUUGUAGUC